UGCCAGUUGCACAAUCAAUAGGAAUUAUUUUCUUAUCUUUCUAGUACUAAACAUGCCAAGAAAACAAUGGCCAUGCCUAGUAUUUUAACACUAAUAAUUUGCAGUUAUGUUUUCAAUGAUAAAAGUUAACAGAGACUGCAAUGGUUCAUAUGCCCCUAGAAGCUAUCUUGCCUCUUUAUUUUCUGAAAAAUGCAUGAGCUAAGCCUGGUAUUAUUCUGUUUUCAGAGAUGCUGCUGUUGAGAUUUGCUAAGACAUUAUAUGCACUAUCAGUGCCUGUCAUGGAGGGGCUUGGGACACAGAAGAUGGCCGGUGUACAGUUCUUAAUGCUGCCUGUUCCAGCUGCUGCAAGUUCUUAGGCUCCAGAGAAAUGGUCACCACGAGGCCAUCUCAGACACCCACUGUCUUACUGUCCUGCUCCUGUGGGUCAUGGCUCUCUGGCUUCCAUUAUCCAAAGAAAUACUACAUUAUGAAAAAGGGACAUGGAGAGAUGUAUGUGAGAACUGGUGGUACGAUUGUCCAAAGGUGACAUUCUCGAUGACCUGCUGGAGAGAGACUCUGCCAUUGUAUUGUGGAAUGUCAAGUCACACUGGCAAGAGAAACACCAGUUCACCGAACUACUUCUGUCUAGAAGGAGGCUCCGUUUUUGUUUCUCCGGAUUCAUAUGUGGUUUCUUAUUCACUUUGUGGGAAGCUGCUUUGGAAUAUUUUUGUUUCCUGAAUCUUCCUGCAAUCUUGACCCACAGUGGUUCUGGGGGUACACAGACAGCACAGGUCUCUGAUGAGUGAAUAAAGGAUUUGAAGCUCAACUCACCCACGACCCUAUUUGGAGACAUGUAAGAUGAUCGCCCUCCUGAGAGCACCUGUCACUCCAGAAUGGGAUGAGACCUACCACUUUGGGCUUCUUCCAGGAGCAGAAAACCAAUUAUAAAUAUGAAACAGAUUUCACUACUGGAACCAAACUUCACAUCCAAAAACAACAAACUUCUCAACCAAGAGUAUCUGAAAUAUAAACAGCAAGACCGAGGAUGUAAGAGCAACCACUCCACACCCGACUCUCUGUUCUGCCUUAGGAGUUUGGUAUGCAGGGCCUUUUUCCAGAGAGACCUGCAUGACACCCUCCGAGAGGGGAAAAACUGCUUUUAAACACCAUCCUUAAUUUAUGGGCUCCAUGUUAAUGACAUGGGUUGCAGAAAAUCCAGCCGGAAGACAGAUGUUCAAGAGUGACAGCUCAAUCAUUGUCCUCUGCUGGGAAGUGCUCCUGCGAUAGCAUUCCGUGGUGUCUGGAUGUUCAAGGUUCUAUUUUUUUAAUGUCAUAUGGGAAACCUCUAUCCUUCUCAAUUAAUUAGAAACACAGAAGAACACUCAUCAAAUGCUCAAGAUAGAAGUCCAUCCUUCAUACAACAUCCAUACUCCUGGGAAGCCAGGAGAAAUAAGAGAUUCCGCAAUAUCCCGUGCGGGUCUCACUGUGUCGUCCCUGGAUGGCCUGGAAUUGGCCACGUAGAACAGAAUGGCCUGAAAUUCACAGAGAUCCAUUCUCCUGCCUCUGCUCCCCACCCUCCAAGCACUGAGGUGCGUGGCUCCAAAUCUGGCCUCAAACUGCUAUGGCUGUCGGAGGUACUCCAUGGUGAUUUCAGAGGAUCUCUUUUCUAAGCAUUCCUGGUGCAAGGUACAUGAAUGAAUCCCAGAAGGAGAGCAUUGGUGUCUUUAGACUCCAUGUCCUAGUAUUUAAUUCCCUGACCUUUUCCUGUGUCCCCUGUCAGUCUUAGUUUAUGCAGCCAUUUUUAACAUUCGAAAUGUAUUUCUUUUUUGUUCUUAUCGAUCAUCUUUGUAUCAUUCAGUGCAAGCCUAGUGUGUACGGUUUGUUGUGCUUAUGUGAGGGAGAGAAAAACAACACAAUAAUGACUCAUAUCACUGAAGCUUUGCUUGUGAUAAUUGGGGCAGAGAGGAAGGAUGGAGUGGAAAUUGAGGAAAAGGGUCUUAGCCUGAAUUUUCCAAAUUGGUUAUUUAUCUGUUAAUUCUUCAUCUUUCCUCAUCACCAUGUCUGAAUUCAGAAAGUCUUCCUAAUGAUAAUAAACUGCGUCAAGAACAGAUGGCUGAUUUGAUGGGAUGAAAAUAGCUGUGUCAAUUGAGGGCAUUUUUUUCCUUACCCAUUUUGCUUUUCAUCACUCUGGGGUUGGUGGUUCAUGCUUUUUUCCCCUUGUACAGAAUGUACUCUCAGCCUAAUAAAAUACCGUGAAUCUCUCCCCCAAAGCAGUUUGGGCCCUUUUCUCUGAAAGACUUGAGAAGUGGCCUUUUGUUAUUAUUUCUGAGUAAUUUCUACCUUUCUUGCCUUCUCAGUUUUAGAUAAGUUACUUUUGGAAGGAUCAGUUUACAACAAAUGUUUAAUGUCAGGAAUUUUACAUUGUCAUGGGCCUGACAGCUUGGCCUGAGAAGAGGUGGGAUUAUGUCAAUUGUAAAUGAGUAUGCUAUUACAUACUAAUUAGACUUUGCACUAGUGGGGUGAAAGAGUGUCCUUUGGAACACCCCAGUUGUUGUGUUUAUAUGACUGUUGUCUAUUGAAACCAUCCAUUGUCUGGCAUUUUCCAGUCUCAUCUCCUCAAUGCCAAUUCAUAGCCUUUUACUUAAAAAUAUCCCUCCACUGCUCAUUGACAGAUACUCAGAAUAUCUAACAAUAAAAAAAAAAAAACUCUGUGAGUCACAUGCUUUGUCAUAGCACCUAGUUUGAUGGCACCAAUGACAAGGUAGGCUUGUCAAUUACAUCCUAAAUGCAAGACAUUUUGCUAAAAACGUCCUUUACAUUUUAAGUUUUCCUGACCUUCAAAAGAAUAUGAGAAUAUGUUUUAUAACAUUUUUUUUCUGAGGAGAUUGGAGUUGCACAGUUCAUAAAUGUAGACAUCGGGAGUCUGUUGUCCAAUUUUUCAGCCACCUUUGUUACCUAUAGCCAAGCCCACAGAUUCGCACACUACUCUGUUCACACUGGGUGAGGGUCACUUUUGUCUAUUUACUCAUGGUCAGUGUGUUAAGCAAAAAAGUAGACAUGCAUAUUACCAGUGUGUUAUUUCUUUUCUACCCUCUGAAAACAUCACCAUUUCAGGUUCAUAUACCAGAUACCUUUCCAUAGACUUCCACAAGUGCAGUGCGAAGCUGACUCAGUAACUCUCACAGUGUUGCCGGCUUAUGAAAGGAAAAGUGAUUAAUAGUCUAGUUAGCUAUUUUACUCUCUUGCUUCGGCAGAAGGUAGUUUAUUAGACUUGGCUAAUGACGUUUUCCCUCUGUUGCUAGAUAAGAAGCAGAAUCAACAAUGUGUCACAUCUGUGUGGGAGCUGGCUCAACAAGGAGCUCAGCCACAUAGAGCAACAUCUGAUGGUUUCUGACUGUUUCCUGAUUGGGUUGGGCGGAGGCCAUCUAUGUGGAUGCUUCUGUCCUGAGAGCACAAAGCUGUGUAUGUUAGGCAUUGUCCACAGAGUGACAUCACUUCCUAAAAGAAAUGAUAGAAAAGGGUGGGUGAGAUGUCCCCCGUGAAAAGCACUUGCAGCUAAGCCCAAUGACCUGAUUUUAAGCCCUGAGACCCACAUAAUAGAAGGAGAAAAACAACUCUCACAGGUUAUCUUCUGGCUUCCAUACAAGUUUCAUGCCACAUGCCACAUGCGUGCCCUCACACAAUAAUUAUUUUUUAAUGAAAAUGACAGAUAUAGCCUUGAUAGUUAACAUCAGAAUACCUUGCUAUGAGGGUUAUGUGACUCCUUCCUUACUCUUUCCUUACUAUUUUCAAUAACUUUUAAGGUUGAAAUAAUUCCAUAAUGGAGUAAAAAGUAAAAUCCAGGGAAAAGAAAAACAGAACAUACAGCUUAGCUCCCAUAAUUCCCAGCAAGCAGAGCACAUUUCCUGAAUGCGACAUAGUCUUGCUCACAGACGUGCCAAAACAAAAAAAUACAAAUCUAAAAUUUGAGCUGAUAACUUAGAUUGUGGCAGAGAUAGCAACUUGUGAAAAGUCACAAUUUUGCAUUGUGCUGGGAAGCCACCUUCUGUGGGGGACUACUGUCACUCUUUAAUACCCAGCAGAGGCACCCCACUGUGCUUUGUCAGUCAGGAGCAACAUCCAAGGCUCUCUGUAAAAGUAAUUCACACUUUUCUCACAACACUGUUGCUUUAAUUACCACUGAACUCUGCGGAUGCUCAGGCAGGCCUGGUAGGACAUGGCAGAGGCACAGAAAAAGCAAAUGGCUUUUCUCUUUCUUACUUCAUGAUUAGCAGCUCAUCUUUGAUGGAAGGGUUCCUAGUUCUGAAUCCUGGACUUAACUCCUUUUGGCAUAUUUAUUAUCAAGAGAAACACAGAUGUGUGUGUGUGUGUGUGUGUGUGUGUGUGAGAGAGAGAGAGAGAGAGAGAGAGAGACAGACAGACAGACAGACAGACAGACAGACAGAAAGACAGAGACAGAGACAGACUGACAGAUUGACAAAGACAGAGACACAGAGACAGACAGAUAGACAGACACUCAGACAGACAGACAGACAGACAGAGAGAA
Molecule: non-coding RNA, 4525 nt
Organism: Rattus norvegicus (Norway rat)
Lineage: Eukaryota; Metazoa; Chordata; Mammalia; Rodentia; Muridae
Source: RefSeq, a predicted model, not a curated record